RNAcentral lists this long non-coding RNA (211 nucleotides) under Elaeis guineensis (African oil palm). RNAcentral describes it as "long non-coding RNA (EGUI_LNC068950)". Lineage: Eukaryota; Viridiplantae; Streptophyta; Magnoliopsida; Arecales; Arecaceae. The record is from RNAcentral.
ACGUCUCUCUUGGUUGCUGAUUUUUAGAGCUUGAUUGCUGCAAAAUCAAGAGAAGGAGAUGAAGAAAAGAAGAAAAGAAAAAGACCAAGAAAAUGAUCAAAACUUGAUUGCAAUCCAGACUUCGUUCAGAUUUGCAGGGUGAUCAUUCUUGGAUAAGAAAGAUUUACAUUAAAGAGGGUUGCUCCAAACUGAUCCUAAGUAGAUAUCCAUA